This 681-nucleotide ribosomal RNA is filed under the name uncultured fungus. Its description in RNAcentral is "eukaryotic LSU rRNA". The stretch from base 288 to 441 matches the Rfam family "5.8S ribosomal RNA". The record is from RNAcentral. Lineage: Eukaryota; Fungi.
AAGUCGUAACAAGGUUUCCGUAGGUGAACCUGCGGAAGGAUCAUUACUGAGCGUGGGUCCCCUGACCCACCCCCCUUCCCGGGGGUGGGCGGGGUUGACCCUAGACCUCCCACCCUUGUCGACUGUACCGUGUUGCUUCGGCGGGCCCGCCGUUGGCCGCCGGGGGGCUCGCGACUCGUGAGCGUUGUCCCCGGGCCCGUGCCCGCCGGAGACCUCCCUUGAAAUGCUACUGUGCUUAAUAAGGAAUGCUGUCUGAGUGUGAACGAUGUGAGAAACUGAUCAGCCAAAACUUUCAACAAUGGAUCUCUUGGUUCCGGCAUCGAUGAAGAACGCAGCGAGAUGCGAUAAGUAAUGCGAAUUGCAGAAUUCCGUGAGUCAUCGAAUCUUUGAACGCACAUUGCGCCCCCCGGCUUCCCGGGGGGCAUGCCUGUCCGAGCGUCAUUGCCAUCCCCUCAAGCCCCGCUUGGCUGGUUGGGCCGGCGUCCACCCCACGGCCUUUGUGCCCCGGGGGGGACGGGCCUGAAAGGUAGUGGCGGCUCCCGGAGGGUGGUCCUUUGGGGCGGUGAUACAUGGGUCGUUGUCUUCCGCCGCUCCGUUGGCCGCGCUCCGGGUGCCUGUCGAACGACUGGUCUUCCCCUUUAGGUUGACCUCGGAUCAGGUAGGGAUACCCGCUGAACUUAA